Long non-coding RNA from Fukomys damarensis (Damara mole-rat), 246 nucleotides. RefSeq lists it as uncharacterized. Lineage: Eukaryota; Metazoa; Chordata; Mammalia; Rodentia; Bathyergidae. The transcript is spliced from 3 exons. The record is from RefSeq and is a predicted model, not a curated record.
CCCAGAGUUCCGUGUUGUGAGAAUAGUAAAUUUGAUCACCUUUCUGGGUCCCCAGCUUCCUUAUGCAGAACGCAGGUUAUCACCCUGGAAACACAUGCCUGGCACUUGGACAUUUGUAUGCCUCAGGACACUCCUGGAUAGCUGACACAAGAGGAAACCAUUUCCAACUGCUGCUAUGGUUUCUCUCCCUUCUUCCUCUGAAGCACUACAGCACUUUCAAAGUAAAGAUUAUAGAAUAAGGUAAGA